This 253-nucleotide ribosomal RNA is filed under the name uncultured bacterium. RNAcentral's name for it is "partial 16S ribosomal RNA". It matches the Rfam family "Bacterial small subunit ribosomal RNA", at positions 524 to 776 of the family's 1533-position model. The record is from RNAcentral.
UACGUAGGGUGCAAGCGUUACUCGGAAUUACUGGGCGUAAAGCGUGCGUAGGUGGUUUGUUAAGUCUGAUGUGAAAGCCCUGGGCUCAACCUGGGAACUGCAUUGGAUACUGGCAAGCUAGAGUGCGGUAGAGGGUGGUGGAAUUCCCGGUGUAGCAGUGAAAUGCGUAGAGAUCGGGAGGAACACCUGUGGCGAAGGCGACCGCCUGGACCAGCACUGACACUGAGGCACGAAAGCGUGGGGAGCAAACAGG